Molecule: long non-coding RNA, 1130 nt
Filed under: Gopherus agassizii (Agassiz's desert tortoise)
Lineage: Eukaryota; Metazoa; Chordata; Testudines; Testudinidae
Description: lncRNA (ENSGAGG00000002408.1)
Source: RNAcentral
CCCCAUCUCUGCCCCCCAGCCCCCAGCUCCCGCCCCCUUCGCUGCCCCCCACCCUGCCCUGCGCCGCCUGCCUAGUGCCCAUGCUGGCGCUGGCGGGGGUGGCCGGCCUCUUCGUGGUGAUCUCGGCCCUNGGCCCGGGCCCGGGGGGUGCCCAGCGUGUGGCGCCGGGGCGGGGCGCUGUGGAUCGAGCCGGCGGCCCCGCCCCAGCUGGACAGAGCCCCCCAGGCGGAGACGGGCGACCUGUGGAUCCCGCGCCCCCCACCCAGCGCCGAGGACUGGUACCGGGGGCCCGCCGGCAGCUCGGGGAGUGGCACCUCCAGCGGCAUCCACUCGGGGGCGCCGGAGAGCGCUGGCAGCACCACGGCCUUGUGGGACCCUGAGGCACCGGCCUGGGGGGCUCAGCCCCAUGUCACCCUGCAGGACAUCUCCGAGUUCUUCCGACGUGGAGGGGGGAGGGGGCCGUGAGCACCGGCACGGGGGGGCACCAGGAGGCGACACCCCCGCCCCAAGAAGCAGGAUUCACCCCCAUGGAUGUUGGGGCAGAGCUGAGAUUUUGGGGGGACACUUUGAAAAUUGGAGGGGCACAAGCCUGUUGAGGACCCCCCCACUGUCCCCCACCAUGGGGCACAGAGGGGUCUGCACCCCCCUGCCUCCCUGGCCCGCCAUGGGGCACAGAAGGGCUGCUCUAUGGGACAUGGGAAAUUUCUGCCAGCGGCCGGUUCGCGGGGCUACGGACAAGUGGCCGAAGCUCUUGGCUCCGUUAACAGCCCCUGGGUGGGGGCUCGUUGUGUCCCCUAUUCACCCCCUGUGACAAAGUGGGAAUGUUCUUAAUGUCUCUGAACACUGUGUGGGUGCCUCGGUUUCCCCAUGCCGUUCUCAAGGUGCCAGCUGAACGUGUUGGAGAACAAAGAGAUCAGGUGACCCCGUGGCCCAGGAAAGAGACAAAGGCCACGGGGGGGCUGGAGAGUCUCAGUUUGGAGUUGGCUGGGGAGACGGGGGGAGCCCCAGGGCUGGGGGCUGGGCUCCCCACCCCCCAGAAUGGACCCGGCCGAGGGGUCCCGUUCUCUGUACCUACAAGCUCUGUGUUAGACCCUGUUCCUGUCAUCGAAUAAACCUCUGUUUUAUUGGCU